CCCUACGGGGCGCAGCAGGCGCGAAACCUCCGCAAUGUGAGAAAUCGCGACGGGGGGAUCCCAAGUGCCAUUCUUAACGGGAUGGCUUUUCAUUAGUGUAAAAAGCUUUUGGAAUAAGAGCUGGGCAAGACCGGUGCCAGCCGCCGCGGUAACACCGGCAGCUCUAGUGGUAGCAGUUUUUAUUGGGCCUAAAGCGUCCGUAGCCGGUUUAUUAAGUCUCUGGUGAAAUCUUGCAGCUUAACUGUGGGAAUUGCUGGAGAUACUAGUAGACUGAGAUCGGAGAGGUAGAGA
This 291-nucleotide ribosomal RNA is filed under the name uncultured Methanobrevibacter sp. RNAcentral's name for it is "partial 16S ribosomal RNA". It matches the Rfam family "Archaeal small subunit ribosomal RNA", at positions 321 to 614 of the family's 1478-position model. The record is from RNAcentral. Lineage: Archaea; Methanobacteriati; Methanobacteriota; Methanobacteria; Methanobacteriales; Methanobacteriaceae.